UACCCAUGGUGAGGGCAUGCAUUAAGUCAAUCCAUGAAUCUCUCCCAAGACUGAUAAAAAGUCUCAGUGUCUUUUUGAGCAAAAUUCAUAAUAUGCCUUUUUAAUGCA
Small nucleolar RNA from Juglans microcarpa x Juglans regia, 108 nucleotides. The record is from RefSeq and is a predicted model, not a curated record. Lineage: Eukaryota; Viridiplantae; Streptophyta; Magnoliopsida; Fagales; Juglandaceae.